This 4021-nucleotide long non-coding RNA is filed under the name Salmo salar (Atlantic salmon). RNAcentral's name for it is "lncRNA (ENSSSAG00000102157.1)". Lineage: Eukaryota; Metazoa; Chordata; Actinopteri; Salmoniformes; Salmonidae. The record is from RNAcentral.
AGGACAUCGACAACUGGUAUAGGCCAAUUCAAAACGUUCUUUAUUAUAAAAAAAUAAACUAUUAACUAUAAACAAAGAAAAAGGAAUGAGGUGUGGAAAUGUCAUAAUGUAAGGUGUAUGUAAGGUGCAUGGAUGCGUGAAUAUGUAUGUGUAAACAUGACUGAGUGGAAACUAAAUACAUCUACAAAGGAACAAACAAAACCGGAUCAUACCUGGAGGAGCAGGGAGAAAGGGAGAAAGGGAGAAAGGGAGAAAGGGAGAAAGCCCAGCGAGCGAGCCAGCAGCCCAGCGAGCGAGCCAGCAGCUCAGCGAGGAGCCAGACCAGCCAGACCAGAGAGAGGUUAGUGGAGCACUUGGUUAAAUACCCUGAGCCCAGGUGGCUCCAAUCACACCAGCUGCAAUCACUAACGACCCUCCUCUGCCUGCAGGGGGAACCACCCCUGCACUGCAGAGGAGGAGCCGUGACAGUUAUGAUACCAUUUAGGACUUUGAGCGUGGCUGAGGUGCACCCAUGACCAGCUCGGAAACCAGAUUGCAUAGUGAGAAGGUACGGUGGGAUUCGAAAUGGUCGGUGAUCUGUUUAUUAACUUGGCUUUCAAAGAUUUUAGAAAGGCAGGGCAGGAUGGAUAUAGGUCUAUAACAGUUUGGGUCUAGAGUGUCUUCCCCUUUGAAGAGGGGGGUGACCACGGCAGCUUUCCAAUCUUUGGGGAUCUCAGACGAUACGAAAGAGAGGUUGAAUAGGCUAGUAAUAGGGGUUGCAACAAUUUUGGCGGAUAAUUUUAGAAAGAGAGGGUCCAGAUUGUCUAGCCCAGCUGAUUUAUAGGGAUCCAGCUUUUGCAGUUUUUUCUGGAUUUGGGUGAAGAAGCAGGGGUGGGGGUUUGGGCAAGUUGCUGCAGGGGGUGCUGAGAUGUUGGCCCGAGGUAGGGGUAGCCAGAUGGAAGCAUGGCCAGCCGUAGAAAAAUGCUUAUUGAAAUGAUCGAUUAACGUAAAUUUAUCGGUGGUGACAGUGUUUCCUAGCCUCAGUGCAGUGGGCAGCUGGGAGGAGGUGCUCUUAUUCUCCAUGGACUUUAAAGUGUCGCAAAACCUUUUGGAGUUAGAGCUACAGGAUGCAAAUUUCUGUUUGAAAAAGCUGGUCUUUGCUUUCCUGACUGACUGCAUGUAUUGGUAUCUGGCUUUCCUGAAAAGUUGCAUAUCAUGGGGACUAUUCGAUGCUAGAGCAGUCCGCCACAGGAUGUUUUUGUGCUGGUCGAGGGCAGUCAGGUCUGGAGUGAACCAAGGGCUAUAUCUGUUCUUAGUUCUACAUUUUUUGAAAGGGGCAUGCUUAUUUAAGAUGGUGAGGAAAUUACUUUUAAAGAACGACCAGGCAUCCUCGACUGACAGGAUGAGGUCAAUAUCCUUCCAGGAUACCCGGGCCAGGUCGAUUAAAAGGCCUGCUUGCACAAGUGUUUCAGGGAGCGUUUGACAAUGAUGAGGGGUGGUCGUUUGACCACGGACUCAUAGCAGAUGCAGGCAAUGAGGCAGUGAUUGCUGAGAUCCUGAUUGAAAACAGUAGAGUGGUUUGGAGGGCAAGUUGGUCAGGAUAAUAUUUAUGAGGGUGCCCAUGUUUACGGAUUUAGGGUUGUUCCUGGUGGGUUCCUUGAUACUUUGUGUGAGAUUGAGGGCAUCUAGCUUAGAUUGUAGGACUGCCGGGGUGUUAAGCCAUAUCCCAGUUUAGGUCACCUAACAGAACAAACUCUGAAGAUAGAUGGGGGUCAAUCAAUUCACAUAUGGUGUCCACGGCACAGCUGGGAGCAGAGGGAGGUCUAUAACAGGCAGCAACAGUGAGAGACUGGAGAGUUUCAUUUUUUUAAAUUAGAAGCUCAAACUGUUUGGACAUAGACCUGGAAAGUAUGACAGAACUUUGCAGGCUAUCUCUGGAAUAGAUUGCAACUCCUCCCCUUUGGCAGUUCUAUCUUGACUGAAAAUGUUGUAGUUGGGUAUGGAAAUCUCAGAAUUUUUGGUGGCCUUCCUAAGCCAGGAUUCAGACACGGCAAGGACAUCAGGGUUGGCGGAGUGUGCUAAAGCAGUGAGGAAAACAAACUUAGGGAGGAGGCUUCUGAUGUUAACAUGCAUGAAACCAAGGCUUUUUCAGUUACAGAAGUCAACAAAUGAGAGUGCCUUGGGACAUGCAGGGCCUGGAUUAACCUCCAUAUUACCCGAGGAGCAGAGGAGGAGUAGGAUGAGGGUACGGCUAAAGGCUAUCAAAACUGGUUGUCUAGUGUGUUGGGGACAGAGAAUAAAAGGAGCAGAUUUCUGGUUGUGGUAGAAUAGAUUCAGGGCAUAAUGUACAGACAGGGGUUUGGUGGGGUGAGGGUACAGUGGAGGUAAACCCAGGCACUGAGUGAUGAUAAGAGAGGUUGCAUCUCUGGACGCGCUAGUUAUGCUGGAUGCGGUCACCGCAUGUGUGGGAGGUGGACAAAGGAGGUAUCUGAGGCAUUUUGAGUGGGACUAGGGGCUCCGCAGUAAACUAAAACAAUGAUAACUAUCCUAAACAACAGUAUACAAGGCACAUUGACAUUUGAGAGAGACAUAAAACGAGGCAUAAAGCAAUCACAGGUGUUGAUUGGGAGAGCUAGCUAAGACAACGACGGGUAAGACAACAACAGCUAAUCAGCUAAGACAACAACGACAGGUUUAUGGGACAUAAUCACAGUGCACCAGUCCCCUCCAGUCCUCUCUGUCCAGCCUGGAGACACUGUGCGAAUUCUCUGUAGAGCCUCACAAGACAUUGAUAACGAUAUGACACUUUACCAGUUCAAACCUGUGCAGGCACCCAGAGGCCUCAUUCAUGAUAGUAACCAGAAGUAUCCUUACACAUCUAGUCGGUUCAGUGGCUUAUUGAAUGGAGCUCUCACCACCUUCACUAUCACAGAGGUCCAGGUUAAGGAUGAAGCUGAGUAAUACUGCCAACAAAGUGAACAGCUUCCAUUCACACAGUGAAAUAUGGCUGUACAAAAACCUCUGUUAGCUUCUCUCACUUCAGUCCGUUUGUGCGAGUGCCCGGCCAAGCAUCCGAGAACUGUCAGGGUUCAAUGACCUCUUUCCAUCAUAGCUGUAGCUGUACUGUAAGCAUAUCACAAUCAUAAAUAACUGGCAAUAGGGUGGCAUUAGCCAGUCAAGGCAACACAAACAUGGGAAUGGAACUGAACUGGCAGCUGGAACGCUGCUGGCCUCUGAUCCCAUGUACCAUCUCCUGCCCUUGUGCACUUGGACAAGGCACUCAACCCCCCACAAUUGCUCUUCGUCAAGGGCACUGCACUACAGCUCAUCCUGUGCCUCUCAAUGUGUGUGUGUGUGUGUGUGUGUGUGUGUGUGUGUGUGUGUGUGUGUGUGUGUGUGUGUGUGUGUGUGUGUGUGUGUGUGUGUGUGUACACUCUUAGAAAAAAAGGUGCUAUCUAGAACCUAAAAGGGUUCUUUGGCUGUCCCCAUAGGAGAAUCCUUUAAAGAACACGUUUUAUUUCCUGGUAGAACCUAACAGAGGUUUUUUACAUGGAACCCAAAAGGGUUCUACCUAGAACCAAAAAGUGUUCUCCUAUGGGAACAGCUGAAGAACCCUUUUGGAACCCUUUUUCUACGAGUGCAUAUCUGGGGUGUUGGGAAAGGCAGGAGACAAAUUUCCACUCUAACCAAUGGACAAUAAAGUAUCUAUUCUAUAGGUCUACAAUAACAGAAUAAACUACUUCAGACUCGGCCAACAGUGUUAUUUGAGCAGUGAUCACCAUGAUGUCAACAUUUCAGCUCCUCUUUCUUUGCCCUAUGGACAAAAAGUACAUAUACAAGUUACAAAACUUAAAGCGGCAAUCAGAAGUAGAAACAAUAGUAAAGUGGUUGCCCCACCCCUGGUUCUGUAAUAAGCUGAGGGAUGGGUCUGGAAAAAUAUAACCACUGAAAUUCAUAGACAGCAUUAUUUUUAACCAUGUUCUGAGGCUAUAUAGUGUUUGUUUCCAUUUUCUUUGUUUACAAACAUUGGAGUAAAACAAGC